UUAAAUUGAAGAGUUUGAUCAUGGCUCAGAUUGAACGCUGGCGGCAGGCCUAACCCAUGCAAGUCGAACGGUAACAGGAAGAAGCUUGCUUCUUUGCUGACGAGUGGCGGACGGGUGAGUAAUGUCUGGGAAACUGCCUGGUGGAGGGGGAGAACUACUGGAAACGGUAGCUAAUACCGCAUAAC
This 185-nucleotide ribosomal RNA is filed under the name Escherichia coli O157:H7 str. K2324. RNAcentral's name for it is "partial 16S ribosomal RNA". It matches the Rfam family "Bacterial small subunit ribosomal RNA", at positions 1 to 177 of the family's 1533-position model. Lineage: Bacteria; Pseudomonadati; Pseudomonadota; Gammaproteobacteria; Enterobacterales; Enterobacteriaceae. The record is from RNAcentral.